This 116-nucleotide ribosomal RNA is filed under the name Pteropus alecto (black flying fox). The record is from RNAcentral. Lineage: Eukaryota; Metazoa; Chordata; Mammalia; Chiroptera; Pteropodidae.
GUCUACGGCCACGCCACCCUGAACAUGCCCAAUAUCUGAUCUCGGAAGCUAAGCAGGGUCAGGCCUGGUUAGUACUUGGAUGGGAGACCACCUAGGAAGACCAGGUGCUGUAAGCA